UACGUAGGGGGCAAGCGUUAUCCGGAUUUACUGGGUGUAAAGGGAGCGUAGACGGCAUGGCAAGUCUGGAGUGAAAACCCAGGGCUCAACCUUGGGAUUGCUUUGGAAACUGUCAAGCUGGAGUGCCGGAGAGGUAAGCGGAAUUCCUAGUGUAGCGGUGAAAUGCGUAGAUAUUAGGAGGAACACCAGCGGCGAAGGCGGCUUACUGGACUGCAACUGACGUUGAGGCUCGAAAGCGUGGGGAGCAAACAGG
Molecule: ribosomal RNA, 253 nt
Filed under: uncultured bacterium
Lineage: Bacteria
Description: partial 16S ribosomal RNA
Rfam family: Bacterial small subunit ribosomal RNA
Source: RNAcentral